RNAcentral lists this long non-coding RNA (1685 nucleotides) under Sus scrofa (pig). Its description in RNAcentral is "lncRNA (ENSSSCG00065056574.1)". The record is from RNAcentral. Lineage: Eukaryota; Metazoa; Chordata; Mammalia; Artiodactyla; Suidae.
CAGGGGCUGUGGUGAAGGGUCUUCAGUUAGCCUUUUACUGUGAGAGAGACCCUGCGGGGAGACAGAGCAGGAGAGGAGGAAAAACGGAAACUGUCUAUGGAGGCUGAGACCCUUAUGAGACAGUCCAAUCAGAAAUCUUAAAACUGUGGGGAAGUAUCUAGAAGCCCUGAAAUCUUUGGUGAAGGUGUGUUAAAAAUCACAUUAGGGAGUUCCCAUUGUGGCGCAGUGGUUAACGAAUCCGACUAGGAACCCUGAGGUUGCAGGUUCAGUCCCUGGCCUCGCUCAGUGGGUUAAGGAUCCGGUGUUGCCGUGAGCUGUGGUGUAGGUCGCAGACGUGGCUCGGAUUCCGCGUUGCUGUGGCUCUGGCGUAGGCCGGCGGCUACAGCUCUGAUUAGACCCCUAGCCUGGAAACCUCCAUAUGCUGCGGGAGCGGCCCAAAGGAAAUAGCAAAAAGACAAAAAAAAAAAAAAAAAAAAAAAAAAAAAAAAAGACCAAAAAAAAAAAAAAAUCACAUUAGAUCUAGAUGGGACCUUAUAUUGGGAGGCUGUAUAUUCAGUAAUAAACUGGGACACUUUUGAGAGUGAAAGAGAAUGUUAUGAAUAAAAUAGCCAGGAACAACAGGUGUAAGUGGGGACUGUGCUGGACAAACUGGCUCAGUGUUCACUCUGCUUAUUAAAGUAGUUCUUGGAGAGGAUGCGCUAUAGACUGUGAGGAAAAUUUCCAAAAUAAUGACGCAAUUGGGAAGGCGGGGAGAAUGAGGUGUAGAGAGCAGUUCUUUUCCAGAAUUUGGUGACAGGAAGAAUAUACAGUUUACAACAGCUCUCCGGGUGUGUCUUGUCCCCUCUAUCCCACGCUGAGGGUGGCAGAGGUAUGAGGGUCACAAGGUGGCAGAAGUUCUGGAACCCAGAGCUUCACACUGGGCUUGGCACAAAGAAGUUGAUGAUAGGGCACUUAAUGACCGACGGAACUCACGUAUCUUGUUUUCCAGGUCUCUCAAUUUCCGGAACAAAGCGGAUUCCAGGUGCGCUUGCGCAGACUCCAGCGUGGGAGGGGGUGCUCUCAGGGUCCUCAACGCAAUUCCAUCCUCGGGAGAAACUUGAUAUGCCCAAGUAUGAACCCAACUUAAAGAGGAAGAAUGAUAUGAACUGGAGGUGCUUUCGGAAACUUGUUGCAGAUCUGAGGUCUGAAGAUGCAGAGAAAUGGCUUUUACCACGUUUCACUUUGAAAGGUAGGAAACUUCUUUGACACAGUUGGUAGAAUUUCAGAGGCAGAGUCCUUAAGCUUCUUAUACUUAAAAAAAAAAUAACUUACCUGUCCCUCCUCCCCCCACCCAAUUAAAUAAUGUCUUAACAGUGGGGCUAGGUUAGGAGCACUUUUACAAGCUUCUCAGGUGAUUCUGUGCACAGCAUUGUGAACUCUUGAUCUAGACCAGCUCAUUUUACUGAUGGGAAAAGUACUUUCUGCUGGUGGGGAAGGUACAUGUUCAUCUUCCAUGUGGCCUCCAAAAUAUGCUAAAAAAAGAAAUUGGAGUUAAAAACCUUCACUGAGUCCCCCCACCCCCUUUCUGACAUUUCCCUUCAGUUUUUAGGACCAAGCUCAGGGUGUUUAGCUUAGAUCACAGCUCUUUUCAGUAUUUGCCUCUUGCUACACAUCUCACCUCCAUUUUUCUCUUCCCCUACUUCUAC